UUAAGCGACUAAGCGUACACGGUGGAUGCCCUGGCAGUCAGAGGCGAUGAAGGACGUGCUAAUCUGCGAAAAGCGUCGGUAAGGUGAUAUGAACCGUUACAGCCGGCGAUGUCCGAAUGGGGAAACCCAGUGUGAUUCGUCACACUAUCGUUAACUGAAUACAUAGGUUAACGAGGCGAACCGGGGGAACUGAAACAUCUAAGUACCCCGAGGAAAAGAAAUCAACCGAGAUUCCCCCAGUAGCGGCGAGCGAACGGGGAGCAGCCCAGAGUCUGAAUCAGCUUGUGUGUUAGUGGAACGGUCUGGAAAGUCCGACGGUACAGGGUGAUAGUCCCGUACACCAAAAUGCACAGGUUGUGAACUCGAAGAGUAGGGCGGGACACGUGGUAUCCUGUCUGAAUAUGGGGGGACCAUCCUCCAAGGCUAAAUACUCCUGACUGACCGAUAGUGAACCAGUACCGUGAGGGAAAGGCGAAAAGAACCCCGGCGAGGGGAGUGAAAAAGAACCUGAAACCGUGUACGUACAAGCAGUGGGAGCACCUUCAGGUGUGACUGCGUACCUUUUGUAUAAUGGGUCAGCGACUUAUAUUCUGUAGCAAGGUUAACCGUAUAGGGGAGCCGCAGGGAAACCGAGUCUUAACUGGGCGUUAAGUUGCAGGGUAUAGACCCGAAACCCGGUGAUCUAGCCAUGGGCAGGUUGAAGGUUGGGUAACACUAACUGGAGGACCGAACCGACUAAUGUUGAAAAAUUAGCGGAUGACUUGUGGCUGGGGGUGAAAGGCCAAUCAAACCGGGAGAUAGCUGGUUCUCCCCGAAAGCUAUUUAGGUAGCGCCUCGUGAACUCAUCUUCGGGGGUAGAGCACUGUUUCGGCUAGGGGGUCAUCCCGACUUACCAACCCGAUGCAAACUACGAAUACCGAAGAAUGUUAUCACGGGAGACACACGGCGGGUGCUAACGUCCGUCGUGAAGAGGGAAACAACCCAGACCGCCAGCUAAGGUCCCAAAGUCAUGGUUAAGUGGGAAACGAUGUGGGAAGGCACAGACAGCCAGGAUGUUGGCUUAGAAGCAGCCAUCAUUUAAAGAAAGCGUAAUAGCUCACUGGUCGAGUCGGCCUGCGCGGAAGAUGUAACGGGGCUAAACCAUGCACCGAAGCUGCGGCAGCGACACUAUGUGUUGUUGGGUAGGGGAGCGUUCUGUAAGCCUGCGAAGGUGUGCUGUGAGGCAUGCUGGAGGUAUCAGAAGUGCGAAUGCUGACAUAAGUAACGAUAAAGCGGGUGAAAAGCCCGCUCGCCGGAAGACCAAGGGUUCCUGUCCAACGUUAAUCGGGGCAGGGUGAGUCGACCCCUAAGGCGAGGCCGAAAGGCGUAGUCGAUGGGAAACAGGUUAAUAUUCCUGUACUUGGUGUUACUGCGAAGGGGGGACGGAGAAGGCUAUGUUAGCCGGGCGACGGUUGUCCCGGUUUAAGCAUGUAGGCUGAUUGUCCAGGCAAAUCCGGAUAAUCAAGGCUGAGGUGUGAUGACGAGGCACUACGGUGCUGAAGUAACAAAUGCCCUGCUUCCAGGAAAAGCCUCUAAGCAUCAGGUAACAUUAAAUCGUACCCCAAACCGACACAGGUGGUCAGGUAGAGAAUACCAAGGCGCUUGAGAGAACUCGGGUGAAGGAACUAGGCAAAAUGGUGCCGUAACUUCGGGAGAAGGCACGCUGGUGUGUAGGUGAAGNUGGAGCUGAGACCAGUCGAAGAUACCAGCUGGCUGCAACUGUUUAUUAAAAACACAGCACUGUGCAAACACGAAAGUGGACGUAUACGGUGUGACGCCUGCCCGGUGCCGGAAGGUUAAUUGAUGGGGUUAUCCGUAAGGAGAAGCUCUUGAUCGAAGCCCCGGUAAACGGCGGCCGUAACUAUAACGGUCCUAAGGUAGCGAAAUUCCUUGUCGGGUAAGUUCCGACCUGCACGAAUGGCGUAAUGAUGGCCAGGCUGUCUCCACCCGAGACUCAGUGAAAUUGAACUCGCUGUGAAGAUGCAGUGUACCCGCGGCAAGACGGAAAGACCCCGUGAACCUUUACUAUAGCUUGACACUGAACAUUGAGCCUUGAUGUGUAGGAUAGGUGGGAGGCUUUGAAGCGUGGACGCCAGUCUGCGUGGAGCCAACCUUGAAAUACCACCCUUUAAUGUUUGAUGUUCUAACGUUGGCCCCUUACCGGGGUUGCGGACAGUGUCUGGUGGGUAGUUUGACUGGGGCGGUCUCCUCCCAAAGCGUAACGGAGGAGCACGAAGGUUAGCUAAUCCUGGUCGGACAUCAGGAGGUUAGUGCAAUGGCAUAAGCUAGCUUGACUGCGAGCGUGACGGCGCGAGCAGGUGCGAAAGCAGGUCAUAGUGAUCCGGUGGUUCUGAAUGGAAGGGCCAUCGCUCAACGGAUAAAAGGUACUCCGGGGAUAACAGGCUGAUACCGCCCAAGAGUUCAUAUCGACGGCGGUGUUUGGCACCUCGAUGUCGGCUCAUCACAUCCUGGGGCUGAAGUAGGUCCCAAGGGUAUGGCUGUUCGCCAUUUAAAGUGGUACGCGAGCUGGGUUUAGAACGUCGUGAGACAGUUCGGUCCCUAUCUGCCGUGGGCGCUGGAGAAUUGAGGGGGGCUGCUCCUAGUACGAGAGGACCGGAGUGGACGCAUCACUGGUGUUCGGGUUGUCAUGCCAAUGGCACUGCCCGGUAGCUAAAUGCGGAAGAGAUAAGUGCUGAAAGCAUCUAAGCACGAAACUUGCCCCGAGAUGAGUUCUCCCUGAGACUUUAAGUCUCCUGAAGGAACGUUNGACGUUGAUAGGCCGGGUGUGUAAGCGCAGCGAUGCGUUGAGCUAACCGGUACUAAUGAACCGUGAGGCUUAACCUU
Molecule: ribosomal RNA, 2883 nt
Filed under: Klebsiella pneumoniae
Lineage: Bacteria; Pseudomonadati; Pseudomonadota; Gammaproteobacteria; Enterobacterales; Enterobacteriaceae
Description: 23S ribosomal RNA
Rfam family: Bacterial large subunit ribosomal RNA
Source: RNAcentral